GACGAACGCUGGCGGCGUGCUUAACACAUGCAAGUCGAACGGAAAGGCCCUGCUUUUGUGGGGUGCUCGAGUGGCGAACGGGUGAGUAACACGUGAGUAACCUGCCCUUGACUUUGGGAUAACUUCAGGAAACUGGGGCUAAUACCGGAUAGGAGCUCCUGCCGCAUGGUGGGGGUUGGAAAGUUUCGGCGGUUGGGGAUGGACUCGCGGCUUAUCAGCUUGUUGGUGGGGUAGUGGCUUACCAAGGCUUUGACGGGUAGCCGGCCUGAGAGGGUGGCCGGCCACAUUGGGACUGAGAUACGGCCCAGACUCCUACGGGAGGCAGCAGUGGGGAAUAUUGCACAAUGGGCGGAAGCCUGAUGCAGCAACGCCGCGUGCGGGAUGACGGCCUUCGGGUUGUAAACCGCUUUCGCCUGUGACGAAGCGUGAGUGACGGUAAUGGGUAAAGAAGCACCGGCUAACUACGUG
This 468-nucleotide ribosomal RNA is filed under the name uncultured bacterium. RNAcentral describes it as "partial 16S ribosomal RNA". It matches the Rfam family "Bacterial small subunit ribosomal RNA", at positions 28 to 507 of the family's 1533-position model. The record is from RNAcentral.